UUUAAGACUGUAAAAUAUGCCAAAUAACAGUUAACCGACAAACACACUAGACUCGGGCUCCAUUAGCGACCUUAAGCAAUUUCACACAUUCGUUGAUUCAAGAAUUAUCGUUUUAUCAUUAUUGAACUUUAAUACCGUGAUAGAAAAUAGGGUGAGGGAUCCUUACUCGUUUCGGGGUCCGAACACGGCUUCACAGUGCGCCUACAGGCUGUCCCUAAUUUUUCCUGAAUUUUUUCCGGGGAACUAAAAUGCACUACUGGUACCUGCACGUGUUCCAAAAAAUCCCAAAUUAGACCCAAGGCCCCUUUCGGCCAAUAUCACAAUUCCGGCACGGCGGCUCCGCCGUGCUCCGGCGACGACGCCGCCGCUUGCGGAGGCGAUUCGCCUCGGGUUGGCCGU
This 399-nucleotide long non-coding RNA is filed under the name Carica papaya (papaya). RNAcentral's name for it is "long non-coding RNA (CPAP_LNC006405)". Lineage: Eukaryota; Viridiplantae; Streptophyta; Magnoliopsida; Brassicales; Caricaceae. The record is from RNAcentral.